CCUACGGGGGGCUGCAGUGGGGAAUUUUGCGCAAUGGACGAAAGUCUGACGCAGCGACACCGCGUGUGGGAUGAAGUAUUUCGGUAUGUAAACCACUGUGGCGAGGGAUGACCAAAGACAGUACCUCGCUAGAAAGCAUCUGCUAACUACGUGCCAGAAGCCUCGGCAAUGCGUGGGAUGCAAGCGUUAUCCGGAUUUAUUGGGCGUAAAGGGUUUCGCAGGCGGACUGUUAAGUCUAGUCUUAAAUACUGGGGCUCAACCCCAGAUACAGGAUUGGAUACUAGCAGUCUAGAGGAUAUCAGGGGGAACUGGAAUGCUCGGUGGAGGGGUGAAAUCCGUUGAGAUCGAGCAGAACGCCAAUGGCGAAAGCAGGUUCCUGGGGUAUUCCUGACGCUCAGGUACGAAAGCUAGGGGAGCAAACGGGAUUAGAUACCCCUGUAGUC
Molecule: ribosomal RNA, 443 nt
Filed under: uncultured bacterium
Lineage: Bacteria
Description: bacterial SSU rRNA
Rfam family: Bacterial small subunit ribosomal RNA
Source: RNAcentral